GUGACCUGCGGAAGGAUCAUUAACGAAUUGUAAUGGGGGUUGAUGCUGGCAAGCUAUCAUUUUAGCUGCAUGUUGCUCACCUUCAACAAUCAUUAUCCCAAACACCUGUGCACCUUUUGAGGGGUAGUUUCUAAGUAGAUUCCGCUGCCUGUUGGUAGUGGGAUUAUCUUGGAUCCUUUCCCUUCUUUCACACAUACACUAUUUACAAUAUUGAACGUGAUUGUGCCGUAAGGCCUUAAUAAAAAUACAACUUUUAACAACGGAUCUCUUGGCUCUCGCAUCGAUGAAGAACGCAGCGAAAUGCGAUAAGUAAUGUGAAUUGCAGAAUUCAGUGAAUCAUCGAAUCUUUGAACGCACCUUGCGCUCCUUGGUAUUCCGAGGAGCACGCCUGUUCGAGUGUCGUGAAGUUCUCAAGCUAGGUGCUUUUUUGCUUGACAAAAAUGCGGUUAGCUUGGUAUUGGGCUUUGCCGUGUCCUUCAUUUGGAACGGCUGGUCUUAAAGACAUUAGCUUGACCCUUCACGUGGUAUUGGUUCUACUCAGCGUGAUAAUAAUCUAACCGCUGAGGACAUCUUUUGGGGUGGCCAAUUCUUGUUGGGGUUGCUUUCUAAUCUGGUUUGCAAGAUUCUUGAAUCCUGCUCCAUUUUUCAAUUUUGACCUCNAAUCAGGUGGGACUACCCGCUGAACUUAAGCAUAUCAU
This 698-nucleotide ribosomal RNA is filed under the name uncultured Clavulinaceae. Its description in RNAcentral is "eukaryotic LSU rRNA". The stretch from base 249 to 402 matches the Rfam family "5.8S ribosomal RNA". The record is from RNAcentral. Lineage: Eukaryota; Fungi; Basidiomycota; Agaricomycetes; Cantharellales; Hydnaceae.